UCUUCCGUGGCCUAAUUGGCUAAGGCGUCCGACUGUUAAUCGGGAGAUUCCUGGUUCGAUCCCAGGCGGAAGAG
This is a non-coding RNA of Diaporthe ampelina, 74 nucleotides long. Lineage: Eukaryota; Fungi; Ascomycota; Sordariomycetes; Diaporthales; Diaporthaceae. The record is from Rfam.